This 497-nucleotide ribosomal RNA is filed under the name uncultured bacterium. Its description in RNAcentral is "partial 16S ribosomal RNA". It matches the Rfam family "Bacterial small subunit ribosomal RNA", at positions 28 to 507 of the family's 1533-position model. The record is from RNAcentral.
GAUGAACGCUGGCGGCGUGCCUAAUACAUGCAAGUCGAGCGAACAGACGAGGAGCUUGCUCCUCUGACGUUAGCGGCGGACGGGUGAGUAACACGUGGAUAACCUACCUAUAAGACUGGGAUAACUUCGGGAAACCGGAGCUAAUACCGGAUAAUAUAUUGAACCGCAUGGUUCAAUAGUGAAAGACGGUUUUGCUGUCACUUAUAGAUGGAUCCGCGCCGCAUUAGCUAGUUGGUAAGGUAACGGCUUACCAAGGCGACGAUGCGUAGCCGACCUGAGAGGGUAAUCGCCCACACUGGAACUGAGCCACGGUCCAGACUCCUACGGGAGGCAGCAGUAGGGAAUCUUCCGCAAUGGGCGAAAGCCUGACGGAGCAACGCCGCGUGAGUGAUGAAGGUCUUCGGAUCGUAAAACUCUGUUAUUAGGGAAGAACAAAUGUGUAAGUAACUAUGCACGUCUUGACGGUACCUAAUCAGAAAGCCACGGCUAACUACGUG